GACAGAGGGUGCAAACGUUGCUCGGAAUUACUGGGCGUAAAGCGCGUGUAGGCGGGUUUUCAAGUCAGAUGUGAAAUCCCUGGGCUCAACCCAGGAACUGCAUUUGAAACUGGGAGUCUUGAGUAUCGGAGAGGAAAGCGGAAUUCCUGGUGUAGAGGUGAAAUUCGUAGAUAUCAGGAGGAACACCGGUGGCGAAGGCGGCUUUCUGGACGAUAACUGACGCUGAGACGCGAAAGCGUGGGGAGCAAACAGG
Molecule: ribosomal RNA, 253 nt
Filed under: uncultured bacterium
Lineage: Bacteria
Description: partial 16S ribosomal RNA
Rfam family: Bacterial small subunit ribosomal RNA
Source: RNAcentral